CAGGCCAUGGUGGGAUUCCCGAGCGGCCAAAGGGAGCAGACUGUAAAUCUGCCGUCACAGACUUCGAAGGUUCGAAUCCUUCUCC
Molecule: transfer RNA, 85 nt
Filed under: Pantoea sp. Sc1
Lineage: Bacteria; Pseudomonadati; Pseudomonadota; Gammaproteobacteria; Enterobacterales; Erwiniaceae
Description: tRNA-Tyr
Rfam family: tRNA
About the family: Transfer RNA (tRNA) molecules are approximately 80 nucleotides in length. Their secondary structure includes four short double-helical elements and three loops (D, anti-codon, and T loops).
Source: RNAcentral